Xylariaceae sp. FL0016 is the source of this 103-nucleotide non-coding RNA. Lineage: Eukaryota; Fungi; Ascomycota; Sordariomycetes; Xylariales; Xylariaceae. The record is from the annotation of a GenBank genome assembly.
GCCUGUUUGGCGUAGUGGUUAACGCGCCGCUCUUAUAACUCUUUCUUUACCGAAAGAUAAUAUAGUAAUGCGGAGGUUGCCAGUCUAAUCCUGGCAAUGGGCA